RNAcentral lists this transfer RNA (66 nucleotides) under bovine gut metagenome. It matches the Rfam family "tRNA". Rfam says of the family: Transfer RNA (tRNA) molecules are approximately 80 nucleotides in length. Their secondary structure includes four short double-helical elements and three loops (D, anti-codon, and T loops). Further hydrogen bonds mediate the characteristic L-shaped molecular structure. tRNAs have two regions of fundamental functional importance: the anti-codon, which is responsible for specific mRNA codon recognition, and the 3' end, to which the tRNAs corresponding amino acid is attached (by aminoacyl-tRNA synthetases). tRNAs cope with the degeneracy of the genetic code in two manners: having more than one tRNA (with a specific anti-codon) for a particular amino acid; and 'wobble' base-pairing, i.e. permitting non-standard base-pairing at the 3rd anti-codon position. The record is from RNAcentral.
GCCGUAGCUCAAUGGUAGAGCACCGCUUUCAUAAGGCGUAGGUUGCUGGUUCAACCCCAGUCGGCG